AUAUUUUGUUAUAAUAGUUUACAUUCGUUACAUUAUGUUUGGUUUGGCCCGAAGGCAAUAGUUCACAGGUGUAAGAUAUAUAGAAGCAGCAAGCUGCAUUUUAUAAUGAUCCUUCCGCAGGUUCACCUACGGAAA
RNAcentral lists this unclassified non-coding RNA (135 nucleotides) under uncultured fungus. RNAcentral describes it as "sequence contains ITS1". The record is from RNAcentral. Lineage: Eukaryota; Fungi.